GAUGAACGCUGGCGGCGUGCCUAACACAUGCAAGUCGAGCGAACAGACAAGGAGCGUGCUCCCCUGACGGUAGCGGCGGACGGGCGAGUAAGACGUACAUAACCUUCCUAUUAGACUGGGAUAACUACGGGAAACCGGUGACAAUACCGGAUCAUAUAUCCUACCGCAUGGUUCAAUAGUUAUAGACGGCUUUGCCGUCUCUUUUAGAUGGAUCCGCGCCGGAUUAGUUAGUUGGUAAGGUAACGGCCUACCAAGGCGACGAUGCGUAGCCGACCUGAGAGGAUGAUCAGCCACACUGGAACUGAGACACGGUCCAGACUCCUACGGGAGGCAGCAGUAGGGAAUCUUCGACAAUGGGCGAAAGCCUGACGCAGCCACGCCGCGUGGGUGAAGAAGGUCUUCGGGUCGUAAAACUCUGUUGUUGGGGAAGAAAAAAAGUAGAUGAAUCUCUGGCCGUCUUGACGGUACCUAAACAAUAAGCACCGGCUAACUUCGUG
This 497-nucleotide ribosomal RNA is filed under the name uncultured bacterium. Its description in RNAcentral is "partial 16S ribosomal RNA". It matches the Rfam family "Bacterial small subunit ribosomal RNA", at positions 28 to 507 of the family's 1533-position model. The record is from RNAcentral.